AUUCCUACUCCCAGCAACCACUGAUCUGCUUUCUGUCUCUAGAAAUUCUCUGUCUCGGGCCAUUUCGUAGAAAUGGGCUCAUGAAGUUACAAAGCUUUCUAACUAACUGGCAGACAAUGCAUAUUCAAGAGUUCCUGCUACAUCGAUGUACGCUGGUUUCCCUUUGAUGUGCAGCAUUGCAAACUGAAGUUUGGGUCCUGGUCUUACGGAGGCUGGUCCUUGGAUCUGCAGAUGCAGGAGGCAGAUAUCAGUGGCUAUAUCCCCAAUGGAGAAUGGGACCUAGUGGGAAUCCCUGGCAAGAGGAGUGAAAAGUUCUAUGAGUGCUGCAAAGAGCCCUACCCCGAUGUCACCUUCACAGUGACCAUGCGCCGCAGGACGCUCUACUAUGGCCUCAACCUGCUGAUCCCCUGUGUGCUCAUCUCUGCCCUCGCCCUGCUGGUGUUCCUGCUUCCUGCAGAUUCCGGGGAGAAGAUUUCCCUGGGGAUAACAGUCUUACUCUCUCUCACUGUCUUCAUGCUGCUGGUAGCCGAGAUCAUGCCCGCAACAUCCGAUUCGGUACCACUGAUAGCCCAGUACUUCGCCAGCACCAUGAUCAUCGUGGGCCUCUCAGUGGUGGUGACCGUGAUCGUGCUGCAGUACCACCACCACGACCCCGAAGGGGGCAAGAUGCCCAAGUGGACCAGAGUCAUCCUUCUGAACUGGUGCGCAUGGUUCCUGCGAAUGAAGAGGCCCGGGGAGGACAAGGUGCGCCCGGCCUGCCAGCACAAGCAGCGGCGCUGCAGCCUGGCCAGCGUGGAGAUGAGCGCCAUGGCGCCGCCGCCCGCCAGCAAUGGGAACCUGCUGUACAUCGGCUUCCGCGGCCUGGAUGGCAUGCACUGCACCCCAACCCCCGACUCCGGGGUGGUAUGUGGCCGCAUGGCCUGCUCCCCCACGCAUGACGAGCACCUCCUGCACAGUGGGCAGCCCCCCGAGGGGGACCCGGACCUGGCCAAGAUCCUGGAGGAGGUCCGCUACAUCGCCAACCGCUUCCGCUGCCAGGACGAAAGCGAGGCGGUCUGCAGCGAGUGGAAGUUCGCCGCCUGCGUGGUGGACCGCCUGUGCCUCAUGGCCUUCUCGGUCUUCACCAUCAUCUGCACCAUCGGCAUCCUGAUGUCGGCUCCCAACUUCGUGGAGGCCGUGUCCAAAGACUUUGCGUAACCACGCCUGGUUCUGUACAUGUGAAAAACUCACAGAUGGGCAAGGCCUUUGGCUUGGCGAGAUUUGGGGGUGCUAAUCCAGGACAGCAUUAAACGCCACAACUCCAGUGUUCCCUUCUGGCUGUCAGUCGUGUUGCUUACGGUGUCUUUGUUACUUUAGGUAGCAGAAUCUCAGCACUUUGUUUCAUACUCUCAGAUGGGCUGAUAGAUAUCCUUGGCACAUCCGUACUGUCGGUCAGCAGGGCCACUGAGAAGUCAUUUUGCCCAUUAGCACACGGCCUGGAAAGCCCUUCGGAGAGCUCCCAGUGGCUCCUCACCGCCGGGACAGUUGGUUUUGCAUGUCUGCAUGAAGGUCUACCUGAAAAUUCAACAUUUGCUUUUUGCUUGUGUACAAACCCAGAUUGAAGCUAAAAUAAACCAGACUCACUAAAUCUAUUCCAAUAAUUGACUGGUGGAAGGAAAACAAAAAAACUAAAACUAAAAACCUGUUAGCUUUUCUGCAAUUCAACUUUUUAUUUUUAUUUUAUUUUUUCUAUCAAAGACAGUAGAGAGAAACAGCUUGUUGCUGUUUCUACAUUAAAAAAAAAAA
Molecule: small RNA, 1785 nt
Filed under: Pongo abelii (Sumatran orangutan)
Lineage: Eukaryota; Metazoa; Chordata; Mammalia; Primates; Hominidae
Description: processed transcript
Source: RNAcentral